This 85-nucleotide transfer RNA is filed under the name Felis catus (domestic cat). It matches the Rfam family "tRNA". Rfam says of the family: Transfer RNA (tRNA) molecules are approximately 80 nucleotides in length. Their secondary structure includes four short double-helical elements and three loops (D, anti-codon, and T loops). Further hydrogen bonds mediate the characteristic L-shaped molecular structure. tRNAs have two regions of fundamental functional importance: the anti-codon, which is responsible for specific mRNA codon recognition, and the 3' end, to which the tRNAs corresponding amino acid is attached (by aminoacyl-tRNA synthetases). tRNAs cope with the degeneracy of the genetic code in two manners: having more than one tRNA (with a specific anti-codon) for a particular amino acid; and 'wobble' base-pairing, i.e. permitting non-standard base-pairing at the 3rd anti-codon position. Lineage: Eukaryota; Metazoa; Chordata; Mammalia; Carnivora; Felidae. The record is from Rfam by way of RNAcentral. RNAcentral also lists the same sequence under 3 other names.
GCCUGGGUGGCUCAGUCGGUUGAGUGUCUGACUUCAGCUCAGGUCAUGAUCUCACGGUUUGUGGGUUUAAGCCACACAUCAGGCU